This 301-nucleotide ribosomal RNA is filed under the name uncultured bacterium. Its description in RNAcentral is "partial 16S ribosomal RNA". It matches the Rfam family "Archaeal small subunit ribosomal RNA", at positions 459 to 759 of the family's 1478-position model. The record is from RNAcentral.
CAGUCGCCGCGGGAACACCAGCAGCCCAAGUGGUGGUCGCGCUUAUUGGGCCUAAAGCGCUCGUAGCCUGGCCGGUAAGUUCCCCGUGAAAUCGGGUCGCCCAACGAUUCGGCUUGCGGGGAAUACUGUCGGUCUUGGGGCCGGGAGACGCCGAGGGUACUCCGGGGGUAGCGGUGAAAUGCUGUAAUCCUCGGGGGACUACCAGUGGCGAAGGCGCUCGGCGAUAACGGGCCUGACGGUGAGGGGCGAAAGCUGGGGGCGCGAACGGGAUUAGAUACCCCCGUAGUCCCUGUCUCUUAUA